CUAACCUUCUAAUUGAGCUAACUCAACUUAACAGUACUCUCAUUCACUAAUUGAUAUCAUAACUAACAAUUAAAACAGUUUUUAACUCUUUCCUAACUAACUAAGUGAAAUUAACACUAACUUAGAUUCUAACAUCAUAACUAAAUUCAGAAACCAAGGUUAACAAAGGCUAACAGAAUUGCUAACUGCUAACAACCAAAACCA
RNAcentral lists this long non-coding RNA (204 nucleotides) under Lathyrus oleraceus (garden pea). RNAcentral describes it as "Pisum sativum (pea) long non-coding RNA (PSAT_LNC023252)". The record is from RNAcentral. Lineage: Eukaryota; Viridiplantae; Streptophyta; Magnoliopsida; Fabales; Fabaceae.